RNAcentral lists this unclassified non-coding RNA (244 nucleotides) under Coelastrella oocystiformis. RNAcentral's name for it is "partial internal transcribed spacer 2". Lineage: Eukaryota; Viridiplantae; Chlorophyta; Chlorophyceae; Sphaeropleales; Scenedesmaceae. The record is from RNAcentral.
UACACCCUCACCCCUCCCAACUUGUUGGGUGUGCUUGCUGCUUUUGCAAGCCACUGGGGUGGAUCUGGCUUCCCCAAUCCACCAUUAUAGGUAGAUUGGGUUGGCUGAAGUGCAGAGGUGUAAGCAAGGACCCAAUAUGGGCUUCAACUGGAUAGGUAGCCCCGGCUUUUGCCGACUACACGAAGUUGUUGCUUGUGGAUCUUGCUAGAAGCCAAGCAAGAACGUGCCUCCGGCACGUCUAAAC